RNAcentral lists this ribosomal RNA (497 nucleotides) under uncultured bacterium. RNAcentral describes it as "partial 16S ribosomal RNA". It matches the Rfam family "Bacterial small subunit ribosomal RNA", at positions 28 to 507 of the family's 1533-position model. The record is from RNAcentral.
GAUGAACGCUGGCGGCGUGCCUAAUACAUGCAAGUCGAGCGAACAGACGAGGAGCUUGCUCCUCUGACGUUAGCGGCGGACGGGUGAGUAACACGUGGAUAACCUACCUAUAAGACUGGGAUAACUUCGGGAAACCGGAGCUACUACCGGAUAAUAUAUUGUACCGCAUGGUUCAAUAGUGAAAGACGGUUUUGCUGUCUCUUAUAGAUGGAUCCGCGCCGCAUUAGCUAGUUGGUAAGGUAACGGCUUACCAAGGCGACGAUGCGUAGCCGACCUGAGAGGGUGAUCGGCCACACUGGAACUGAGACACGGUCCAGACUCCUACGGGAGGCAGCAGUAGGGAAUCUUCCGCAAUGGGCGAAAGCCUGACGGAGCAACGCCGCGUGAGUGAUGAAGGUCUUCGGAUCGUAAAACUCUGUUAUUAGGGAAGAACAAAUGUGUAAGUAACUAUGCACGUCUUGACGGUACCUAAUCAGAAAGCCACGGCUAACUACGUG